This 270-nucleotide ribosomal RNA is filed under the name uncultured Burkholderiales bacterium. Its description in RNAcentral is "partial 16S ribosomal RNA". It matches the Rfam family "Bacterial small subunit ribosomal RNA", at positions 505 to 774 of the family's 1533-position model. Lineage: Bacteria; Pseudomonadati; Pseudomonadota; Betaproteobacteria; Burkholderiales. The record is from RNAcentral.
GUGCCAGCAGCCGCGGUAAUACGUAGGGUGCGAGCGUUAAUCGGAAUUACUGGGCGUAAAGCGUGCGCAGGCGGUUAUAUAAGACAGUUGCGAAAUCCCCGGGCUUAACCUGGGAAUGGCGCUUGUGACUGCACGACUGGAGUGCGGCAGAGGGGGAUGGAAUUCCGCGUGUAGCAGUGAAAUGCGUAGAUAUGCGGAGGAACACCGAUGGCGAAGGCAGUCCCCUGGGCCUGCACUGACGCUCAUGCACGAAAGCGUGGGGAGCAAACA